GUGGACAUUGGUUGUUGCUCGCAAUCAAUCCUAUCCGAGAAAUUGUGUAUUAUCUUGACUCGUUAGGAAAUGAUUGGACAAUAUACCCGGAUAUGAAGGUCCUAAUUGACACCGUCCUACAAGCUUUUCGGGCCGAACGAGAUAUCCAAACCUCAAGGAGGGGCGCCAACUCCAUUACAUGGAUUAAAGUGGCGUGUCCUCAACAACGUAAUCAAAUAGAUUGCGGGUAUUUCAUGUUGAGGUUUAUGCGAGAUACUCUUGCUUUGGGCCGAUUAAAGAUUCCC
This is a long non-coding RNA of Lathyrus oleraceus (garden pea), 284 nucleotides long. RefSeq lists it as uncharacterized. The transcript has 3 exons. The record is from RefSeq and is a predicted model, not a curated record. Lineage: Eukaryota; Viridiplantae; Streptophyta; Magnoliopsida; Fabales; Fabaceae.